UGCCAGCAGCCGCGGUAAGACGGAGGGGGCUAGCGUUGUUCGGAAUUACUGGGCGUAAAGCGCGCGUAGGUGGCACAUCUAGUCAGGCGUGAAAGCCCUGGGCUCAACCCAGGAAUUGCGCUUGAAACUGAUGAGCUAGAGUCCGGGAGAGGGUAGCGGAAUUCCCAGUGUAGAGGUGAAAUUCGUAGAUAUUGGGAAGAACACCAGUGGCGAAGGCGGCUACCUGGACCGGCACUGACGCUGAGGUGCGAAAGCGUGGGGAGCAAACAGGAUUAGAUA
RNAcentral lists this ribosomal RNA (279 nucleotides) under uncultured bacterium. RNAcentral's name for it is "partial 16S ribosomal RNA". It matches the Rfam family "Bacterial small subunit ribosomal RNA", at positions 506 to 784 of the family's 1533-position model. The record is from RNAcentral.